CUCGAAGAUUUGAAGACUUCAAUUUGUAGACUUGGAGUAUUUGAAGACUUCAAAUGACAGGAUUGAACAAUUUGAAGAUUUCAGCU
RNAcentral lists this microRNA precursor (86 nucleotides) under Solanum lycopersicum (tomato). RNAcentral's name for it is "MIR8024 microRNA precursor family". It matches the Rfam family "MIR8024 microRNA precursor family". The record is from Rfam by way of RNAcentral. Lineage: Eukaryota; Viridiplantae; Streptophyta; Magnoliopsida; Solanales; Solanaceae.